This 484-nucleotide ribosomal RNA is filed under the name uncultured bacterium. RNAcentral's name for it is "partial 16S ribosomal RNA". It matches the Rfam family "Bacterial small subunit ribosomal RNA", at positions 29 to 507 of the family's 1533-position model. The record is from RNAcentral.
AUUGAACGCUGGCGGCAUGCUUUACACAUGCAAGUCGAACGGCAGCGCGGGCUUCGGCCUGGCGGCGAGUGGCGAACGGGUGAGUAAUACAUCGGAACGUACCCAGUAGUGGGGGAUAGCUCGGCGAAAGCCGGAUUAAUACCGCAUACGACCUGAGGGUGAAAGCGGGGGAUCUUCGGACCUCGCGCUAUUGGAGCGGCCGAUGGCAGAUUAGCUAGUUGGUGGGGUAAAGGCCUACCAAGGCGACGAUCUGUAGCUGGUCUGAGAGGACGACCAGCCACACUGGGACUGAGACACGGCCCAGACUCCUACGGGAGGCAGCAGUGGGGAAUUUUGGACAAUGGGCGAAAGCCUGAUCCAGCAAUGCCGCGUGUGUGAUGAAGGCCUUCGGGUUGUAAAGCACUUUUGGCGGGAACGAAAAGGACUGUGCCAAUACCACGGUUCGAUGACGGUACCCGCAGAAUAAGCACCGGCUAACUACGUG